AGAUAUUCACUACAUUGUUCAAACAUGAACACUUCGUCAUACUGCAAACAAUACCAUGAAAUCGUUAAGCAUAAUGUCACGUGACGCAUAUUUUAUGAAGCUUUUCGUAUUGGGUAACACUUUGAACCAUGAUUAGAUUUGUAUUUACUCGAGCGUUUGUAACACAACGUUUAUCGUCACAAAAGUGUAUUCAGGAAAAUUAAUAUACACACUAUAAGAGUGGUUUAAUGACUGAUACACUAUUAUGAUUCGAGUCAAGUGUUUGCGUUUCCGUUCGAGAUGGAGGAAGAAGGAUACAUGAUAACAUCGAGAAGGAACAAAAUAAUACUGACAUUAACAGUUUUGGUAACCUCCGAAAGACAUUUGACAACGUCCAAGAAGAAUACCAAUUAGUAAACACUUGUAGAAAAUGGGCCAUUCAAGACAGAGAUUCAAUCACACCACUGGACUGUCGAUGUUUUGUUGUUUGAUGCUAGGAGUCAAACACAUUCCUGGUUGUUCAAUUACAUCUCUUGAGAUCAGGGAUUGCAUUUCUUCCGAAAGGAUUACUUAUGGAUAUAAGUCUGCGCCAAAAGAAUGAUGAUGAACCAAAUCUCCCACGACCUGCGGUUACAGAUCAUGACAGGAACGUUUUUCACAAUGAAGGACGCAGAUUAGGAAUCCAUACAACGAGACCGUUACAUGGGGAACAGGCGAUUCUGCAGAUCCGUGUGAAAUCCUUCCGAAGAAGUCCCUAGAUCAUACGGAACCGCGCAGUAGAGUUGGCGACUGCUGGUUUCUUCUAUAUCGGCUAUGCAGAUUGCGUCCGCUGUUUCUUUUGCGGGGUUGUUCUCCGCAGUUGGCAGCCCCAUGAUGUAGCUUGGGCCGAACAUGUGCGAUGGAGUCCUAGCUGUACAUUUGUGCAGUUGAACUCGUGAAGAACACCUAUCCGCAUAUGUUUGUGAAGAUAGAGAAACAGUAUUUGAAGAAUUGGUAAUAUUAUGGCGACCAAAACAAAGUGUUGUAUAAGUUUCUGUAUAUUGUAACGAAAAAUGCCUACUCGGGCGUUAUAGCGUAUUGUUGAACAAGGAAUAUCUUAUGUGUUUGAAGAACAGGGAACGAAAUAUGUUUGUGUGUGAAAUUAAACAUCGAAUAUUUAUUAAUUCAACACUCAUGGAUACUUUUGUGUUUUAUAUGUACAAAAUAUAUGUGGUUAUCUUUUACAAAAUAGACAUAGUAAUGCAGUUAUGAUUAUUCGCUUCUCAAAAUUAUGUUUUGGAACAAUGCAAUCAUAUAAUCCUGUUGAAAAGUGACCAUGAUAUAUAAAAAAAUGAAAGUAAAAUACUUUAUAUAUAUAUAACAUACGUUUAUGAAGAGCAAGAAACAUUAACACUAGUUUCGUUCAUAUGUUAAUAUAUUGCAUGCAAUAUGCCUAUUGAUGAAGAUACGGGUAUUCGCCUUACAAACGAGUUGACUUUGUACAAUGAAAUAGGAACUAAUCAGAAGAUGACCUAAUGUUUGAAUCCCUCAACUGACCUUUAUUUUAUGAGUAAAAACAUUACUUUCAUCAAUAAACUUAUGAAGGAAGUAGGAUAUAAAGGUGUCAAGAAACAAAAGGAAAAACACGCAUUAUAUUUUUUUAACAAUUCUUCUUGAAAUGCUUAGUUUUUACAGGCCCACGUGCCAAUAUCAUCAGUUCUCGUUUUACUGGUUAACAUUUUUUUAACAAGAAAAUACACUGUAAUGACAUGGGAGCUAGAUAGAAGUUUCUUUUCAUCUUCUGAUUUAUGUCUCCUACUAUUUAUAAAAAAAUUUGUUUCACAAUUUUGCAUUUGUAUAAAUAAUAUAAAGAAGUGAAACUCCAGCUGCUGGAGCAGUAUUGAAUUUUCAUUAAAAACAAUUAGUUGGUCCUUUAUUUAAGGCAAGUGAACGAUUGCCCAAACAGUACAAAACAGCACAAUACAAACCAACAUAAACACAAAAUAUGAAUAAAGCUGGAUAAUAUGAAUAAUGCAUUAUUAUGACAACAUGUAAAUAGUAUAUACAUUUGUAACUUACAGCAUUUUUAGCCACCUAGAUCCAAAUCCAUGCAUGAUAUUUGUGGCCGGAUAUAUCUGGUCAAUUCCAGUCAAUACACAUAUUUAAAGCAAGUAAGCAAAAUGAAACGUAGCAAAAUUUUUAUGUUUUCAUGUGACAGUUUCACUGAUAAAGUUUAGUCCAUACAACACUGCCAUGUUUAAAAAAUGAAUGUAAAAGCACACUUUUUAGUAUAAAAAUGUUAACGAUUACUUUGUACAUUUAUUUAUUUUUCUGUUAAUCAUAUUAUUUAUAAGAGUAUAUUGUUCGGUUGUAUAGUUUAAAGUACACAUUUUAAUGAUAAUUGUGUUGACUACUAAUGUAACCAACCACUCACACACCAAGAAAGGGAAACUCAUCAUCAGAAUUUUGUUUAAGUUUUUAUUAAAUAUUACUAUAUACGAGGAGUUCCACAACAGAGCCUGUAUCAGUUACUUCAAGGCGUUCAUUAUUAUUGCAAAUUUGUUGUUGCCUUUAAUCGUACAUAAAAUAGAGUUGUUUGCUUUAAAAUUUAAUGAGGACACACAUAGGUGCUCCAUUCGAAUACAUGACUUGAAAGAUGUAUUUAUCCUACCUCGUCACUGAUAGGGGCUUUACUGUGGAACGGCUCAGAUGUUUUGUUGACAUAUUUAUAUUGUUCAGCUUUGUUUUUCAUUGAUGAUUUGAGUAAAACAUUGUUGUGAAUUA
This is a long non-coding RNA of Dreissena polymorpha, 2742 nucleotides long. RefSeq lists it as uncharacterized. NCBI's taxonomy places the organism in Eukaryota, Metazoa, Mollusca, Bivalvia, Myida, Dreissenidae. The transcript has 4 exons. The record is from RefSeq and is a predicted model, not a curated record.